Molecule: unclassified non-coding RNA, 1597 nt
Filed under: Cyanidioschyzon merolae strain 10D
Lineage: Eukaryota; Rhodophyta; Bangiophyceae; Cyanidiales; Cyanidiaceae
Description: hypothetical transcript
Source: RNAcentral
GGGUACACGUGGUGAGCACUGCACCCAGCGCUUCGCUCGAACGAACGUUGAAUUCCAAGUCAAGUCUGGUUUGUGGUUGGUGCAACUUGGAAAACCUGGUCUAUGGUGGUGGUUCAUUUCCCGGAUGCCGAUAAGCAUCACGGAUCUGGGGCGGAUCCCCGGGGGGCUCCUGUUAUCGAUUACAAACCAUAAGGAGAAUCAGAGCGGGACUGGAAGCCGAAUACUCCUGUUUUCCCGAUCUCAUCUGAUACGCGCUGCUCCAGGUACGGUACCCGCCAGACAACGACGUACUCUAUUCAAAAUACAGCGCAAACGCGAUGUUCCUGCACCACGGCGCUAACGAUCCAUCUGCUUCUACGACGUGCAUGCAUACUUGCUUGCACCGAGCUUACCUGAGGAUGACCGGUUGGAGUCAUAUCGAGAGCGCCACGCACGACCUGAGCUGCUGCACUUUGGAGCUUGGCGAACAUGGCGGCAUGUCAUGAUCGGGCUCGCGUCUAAUGCCGUACUGGCGCGCCACAACAUACAUCCCGCUUCCUGGGCGGUAUCGAGCGCUUCGACAACCCGGGAUACGCAUGGUCAACGCUGUUGGAGACACGCAACGGUGCCGCACGUAAUGCAAAAAGCCUCCCGGCGCAUGUCGAAUCCUUGCAGCGAGGCACUCGAUCCCUGCCCGCGUCGACACCGGUGCACAGCGCACUCGUAGAGCGUCUCCAUGGUCAUAUAUGGCACGCCUGCGACGCAGUAGCGCUUCAGGCGUGGACGGGUGCAUAUCCCUGGAUCGUUGGCGCGCGUAGCCGCGUUCACCGGGUGCGAGGAAUAUGGUGUUCCGUUGCAAACGGUCGCCCGACUUUGUCUUACGGUGUUUAUCCAGACCUUGCGAGACAUCGAGAUAGAAUGUAUCGGUUGGCGACCGAGAUAACCAGUGACCCCAGAGUCGUGCGUGGUAAAUGCAACAUGGAACAAUUGCGGCAUCGAGCGGCGCUGGCUGGCCUCCCAGACCAUACGAGCAGCGACGCAGCAUGCGUAUGCGUCGCCACAUGGGUUCAGUGACGCACCCGGCAUAUCCUUUACCCGCAAGGAGUGACGAUAUCGUGAGAUCCGCGGGUUCUGGAGCCCCGGCCCCAGCCCUGUGAUCGCCGUGAAACAGAUGCAAGCAGCCGCUCGCCAAGUCGCAACGUCUCCCCAUCUAACCUACACAUAUUACGAGGCCGUCCGGGUUUGCUUUUGUGGUGACAGCACUCCGAUCGCUGACGAGUCGCUCAGGCUGGUACAACGACUGGUGCGGGCCGACUCGGGCCUCCUGUAAAGAAAUUGUCACAGAUGCGCGCACAACCUGACAAGCGGCGUCGUUGUGUCAUAACCAAUGAGCCCUGGUGCACGCCUCGAUAUCCCUAGCAUACGCUCAUCGCUGAGCAGCACCGCUCCAUAUCCUCGCUGCGUGAGACUCCGGUGCGCAGUGCCGAGCACGCGUUCGCAUGCAGUGAACUCGUUGAUGCGAGUUCGCGUCUCGAUCGCUGGACGAAACUCGCGCCGCACUGCGUCCUGUUGCGAGUCCGACUAUGCGCAAACACAUAAACAUAUGCGAACACGCAAA